AAAGGCGCGCGAUACAGGGUGACAGCCCCGUACACAAAAGCGCAUGUGCUGUGAGCUCGAUGAGUAGGGCGGGACACGUGGUAUCCUGUCUGAAUAUGGGGGGACCAUCCUCCAAGGCUAAAUACUCCUGACUGACCGAUAGUGAACCAGUACCGUGAGGGAAAGGCGAAAAGAACCCCGGCGAGGGGAGUGAAAAAGAACCUGAAACCGUGUACGUACAAGCAGUGGGAGCACAGGUUUACCUGUGUGACUGCGUACCUUUUGUAUAAUGGGUCAGCGACUUAUAUUCUGUAGCAAGGUUAACCGAAUAGGGGAGC
This 317-nucleotide ribosomal RNA is filed under the name Salmonella enterica. Its description in RNAcentral is "partial 23S ribosomal RNA". It matches the Rfam family "Bacterial large subunit ribosomal RNA", at positions 346 to 666 of the family's 2925-position model. RNAcentral also lists the same sequence under 1 other name. The record is from RNAcentral. Lineage: Bacteria; Pseudomonadati; Pseudomonadota; Gammaproteobacteria; Enterobacterales; Enterobacteriaceae.